Molecule: ribosomal RNA, 253 nt
Filed under: uncultured bacterium
Lineage: Bacteria
Description: partial 16S ribosomal RNA
Rfam family: Bacterial small subunit ribosomal RNA
Source: RNAcentral
UACGAAGGGGGCUAGCGUUGCUCGGAAUCACUGGGCGUAAAGCGCACGUAGGCGGACUCUUAAGUCGGUGGUGAAAUCCUGGAGCUCAACUCCUAAACUGCACUGGAUACUGCUCUGCUAGAGGACUGGAGAGGAGACUGGAAUUCACGGUGUAGCAGUGAAAUGCGUAGAUAUCGUGAGGAAGACCAGUGGCGAAGGCGGGUCUCUGGACAGUUCCUGACGCUGAGGCGCGAAGGCCAGGGGAGCAAACGGG